ACACACGCUCUCUGUACUGUUUGGGAUCUUGCGUGUGGAGCUGGAUUGGAGCCGAAGGAGCUGCAGGGUCGAUAGUAAUUAAGAUUUCUCCAUAGACUGAGAGUGAAGUGCUGAACCAAGUGGAGAUAAUGGAGCUUUCUUUAGCAGCAGUGCUCUGCUCUUCCUUCUUAGUUCCAGCUCUGGGGUCAGCUUUUGGCAGGGAAAUGCCAGGUAAGUGUGCUGAGGCUCAGAUGUGGAAAAUGAGAUUUGUUCAUGUGUGUAAGGAAUGCAUUUCUUUACGUUUUUGGCUCUUUUUUUAAUUAUUUUUUGCUGGUUGUGUUGAAGCUUUGCGUGACAGUUUUGUUUCGCUUCUGCCUCUGAGGGAAUCCGCUCUGUGGUUCUGUGCUCUCCCUCAGGGUAUGCAAAAAUGCUGAAAAGUUAGUUUCUGUGCUGCAGGUUCUUCUAAUCUUACAGAAACUGCAGUAUUCCACAGUUUCACGGCUACUGAAGGUUUUGUGAAUAAUUGUAGACCUUUGCGGAAUGGCAUGAAGAAGCUGAGAAAUAGGAGUGGAAAUGAGCUCAGAUGACAUUAUGAUCGGGAGAUUGCUGGUUCGAAUCCCGAUUAUGCAGCUUGCCAUCAGCUGCCCGAGCCCUGAGAGAGCACAAAUGUCCUUGCUCUCUCUGGGUGGGUAGAUGGUGCUCUUUCCUCUCAUCACUCCUAGGGUGAUGUGGAUCGUGAGCUGAUGUAUCAGAACCGAGUCGCUGCGCUUUCCUCCGAGCGUUAGCGCUGUGAUGCUACGCAGUAAUGCUGCACCAGCAGCAGUUUGAGGAAAAAUGGUGGAAGAAAUUUGAAAUAAAUAAAUAAAAAAAUACA
RNAcentral lists this long non-coding RNA (853 nucleotides) under Astyanax mexicanus (Mexican tetra). RNAcentral's name for it is "lncRNA (ENSAMXG00005012878.1)". Lineage: Eukaryota; Metazoa; Chordata; Actinopteri; Characiformes; Acestrorhamphidae. The record is from RNAcentral.